AGAGUGAACGCUGGCGGUAGGCCUAACACAUGCAAGUCGAACGGCAGCACGGUAAGAGCUUGCUCUUAUGGGUGGCGAGUGGCGGACGGGUGAGGAAUACAUCGGAAUCUACCUUUUGGUGGGGGAUAACGUAGGGAAACUUACGCUAAUACCGCAUACGCCCUUCGGGGGAAAGCCGGGGACCAGCAAGUGGCCUGGCGCUGAUAGAUGAGCCGAUGUCGGUAUUAGCUAGUUGGUGAGGUAAUGGACUCACCGAAGGCGUACGAGUCCGUAGCCGUGGUCUGAGUAGGCUAGAUCGAGCCCUACACGUGGAACCUGAGAC
Molecule: ribosomal RNA, 322 nt
Filed under: uncultured soil bacterium
Lineage: Bacteria
Description: bacterial SSU rRNA
Rfam family: Bacterial small subunit ribosomal RNA
Source: RNAcentral